RNAcentral lists this long non-coding RNA (852 nucleotides) under Mus musculus (house mouse). Its description in RNAcentral is "long non-coding RNA chr10:85816026-85816878". The record is from RNAcentral. Lineage: Eukaryota; Metazoa; Chordata; Mammalia; Rodentia; Muridae.
CACUUCUCCUGAACUAGUUAAGAUUUCUACUUAAAGGGCAUGAAUUGCUCCCAGUGGCCACCAUAUCUCCCAACAUUGAAAAUUGUCAGAUUCGUGACUAGAGGUUUCAGCUUCUCAUUUUACCCAGGCUCAAACCUGACAUCUUGUGGUGUGUCCUACCUGGCCCUCUCAGCUUCUCCCUACAUUAUACCUGACACUGUUUUCACUCAGCCAUCAGCUCAUCACUGGGAUGUCUCUACUGUGUCCUUGACUAAUGCUUUCUACACAGGGAUUAAGAUUUCAAAGCAGACAUCUUUUCCUUCAGAUUGAUCUAUUUUUCUAUUUCCUCUGCUAGGUCCUUUUACAGGAGUGGAGUCCCUCACUCCAAGAGAGGUUAGCAACUGCUCAGACAUUCAGGCCAUUUUCCUCUGCUAGCCUGUGCUUCUUUGAGUAGGUCCAAUUCAGUGCUACUAGGUAUGUAUAAUGUUUACAGACCUUACCCUAAUUUAUAGAGAUGGUAUGGGCAUUGAGAUCAUGUAACCUUGGAAAGUAUUUUAAAUUAGUUACAUAUAUUCUCACUUAUGACCUACUUGCUGUCCCGUCUGUCUGUCUCUUCUGCUUCUCUGUUUCUGUAUCUCUCUGUUAACCCAGCUUUGUCUUUGUCUCUGCAUUUGUUUCUGACUCUAUCAUGUUCUCUAUCUUUCUUCCUCUCUGCCUCUUGGCUUCUCUAUCUCCUCUCUUCUCUUUCUCUCUCUCCCUUUCUCUCUCCCUCUCCCUCUCCCUCUUUCUGUCUCUCUCUCUCUCUCUGUCUGUCUGUCUCUCUCUCUCUCUCUCUCUCUCUCUCUCUCUCUCUCUCUCUCUCUCUCUCUCUGU